This 21-nucleotide non-coding RNA is filed under the name Mus musculus (house mouse). Lineage: Eukaryota; Metazoa; Chordata; Mammalia; Rodentia; Muridae. The record is from RNAcentral.
UAUAAAUAAGGCUGCUAUGAA